This 503-nucleotide ribosomal RNA is filed under the name uncultured bacterium. RNAcentral's name for it is "partial 16S ribosomal RNA". It matches the Rfam family "Bacterial small subunit ribosomal RNA", at positions 30 to 523 of the family's 1533-position model. The record is from RNAcentral.
AUUGAACGCUGGCGGCAGGCUUAACACAUGCAAGUCGAGCGGGGUGAUGGUGCUUGCACUAUCACUUAGUGGCGGACGGGUGAGUAAUGCUUAGGAAUCUGCCUAUUAGUGGGGGACAACAUCUCGUAAGGGAUGCUAAUACCGCAUACGUCCUACGGGAGAAAGCAGGGGAUCACUUGUGACCUUGCGCUAAUAGAUGAGCCUAAGUCGGAUUAGCUAGUUGGUGGGGUAAAGGCCUACCAAGGCGACGAUCUGUAGCGGGUCUGAGAGGAUGAUCCGCCUCACUGGGACUGAGACACGGCCCAGACUCAGACAUGAGGCAGCAGUGGGGAAUAUUGGACAAUGGGGGGAACCCUGAUCCAGCCAUGCCGCGUGUGUGAGGAAGGCCUUAUGGUUGUAAAGCACUUUAAGCGAGGAGGAGGCUCUUUUGGUUAAUACCCAAGAUGAGUGGACGUUACUCGCAGAAUAAGCACCGGCUAACUCUGUGCCAGCCGCCGCGGUAA